ACCGGCAGCUCAAGUGGUGGCCAUUUUUAUUGGGCCUAAAGCGUUCGUAGCCGGUUUGAUAAGUCUCUGGUGAAAUCCCGCAGCUUAACUGUGGGACUUGCUGGAGAUACUAUUAGACUUGAGGUCGGGAGAGGUUAGGGCUACUCCCAGGAUAGCGGUGUAAAGCGACAAUAUUGGGAGGAACUCAAGUGGCGAAGGGGGCCAAUCAGAACGAAACUGACGGUGAGUCACGAAAGCGAGGCGAGCGAACCG
RNAcentral lists this ribosomal RNA (252 nucleotides) under uncultured prokaryote. Its description in RNAcentral is "partial 16S rRNA". It matches the Rfam family "Archaeal small subunit ribosomal RNA", at positions 475 to 726 of the family's 1478-position model. The record is from RNAcentral.